AGAAACUAGAAUCUCUCCUCCAACGCCAUCGGCUGGAGAUAAAGACACGGAUAGACACGGACCAAAAAAACGAGAAGAGACGUAAAGGAGCUAGAUUAGCGGGACGGGGAGGAUGGAGAGAGACCUGGUGACCGCUCAUCUGGUGAACGGCGGUGCGGCAAACAUCGACCUGACGAGGACGCUGUGAGAUAUGAGCAGAGUCCGCAGCCGAAUGAUCGGUCGAGGCUUCGGCGGAGGUGGAAAGGGCGUCGGCGGAGGC
Molecule: long non-coding RNA, 259 nt
Filed under: Eucalyptus grandis
Lineage: Eukaryota; Viridiplantae; Streptophyta; Magnoliopsida; Myrtales; Myrtaceae
Description: long non-coding RNA (EGRA_LNC005850)
Source: RNAcentral